RNAcentral lists this ribosomal RNA (395 nucleotides) under uncultured bacterium. RNAcentral describes it as "bacterial SSU rRNA". It matches the Rfam family "Bacterial small subunit ribosomal RNA", at positions 362 to 774 of the family's 1533-position model. The record is from RNAcentral.
UUUUCCGCAAUGGGCGCAAGCCUGACGGAGCAACGCCGCGUGAGGGAAGAAGGUCUUCGGAUCGUAAACCUUUGUCAUCGAGGACGAUGAUGACGGUACUCGAGGAGGAAGCCCCGGCUAACUACGUGCCAGCAGCCGCGGUAACACGUAGGGGGCGAGCGUUGUCCGGAAUUACUGGGCGUAAAGGGCGCGUAGGCGGCCUAAUAAGUCAGAUGUGAAAACCCAAGGCUUAACCAUGGGAUUGCAUUUGAAACUGUUGAGCUUGAGGGCAGGAGAGGAAAGCGGAAUUCCCAGUGUAGCGGUGAAAUGCGUAGAUAUUGGGAGGAACACCAGUGGCGAAGGCGGCUUUCUGGACUGAACCUGACGCUGAGGCGCGAAAGCCAGGGUAGCGAACG